GAUUUCUGGCUUGAAACAUUUAACCGGCCACGGUUUCGUGUGUUAGUGUUAGAUGUUCUGGCCAUCCUUUCAAUUACUGUUAGUUCAUCUUCGUUGAUGGGUUAAUAGUAUUGAAUCUUUUACUUUGAAAAAAUUAGAGUGUUUCAAGCAGGCUUUAUGCUAUGAAUACAUUAGCAUGGAAUAAUAAUUUAGGACUUCGGUUCUAUUUUGUUGGUUUCUAGGACUGAAGUAAUGAUUGAUAGGGAUAGUUGGGGGUGCUAGUAUUCAGCGGCCAGAGGUGAAAUUCUCGGAUUCGCUGAAGACUAACUUAUGCGAAAGCAUU
Molecule: ribosomal RNA, 322 nt
Filed under: uncultured Sandonidae
Lineage: Eukaryota; Cercozoa; Glissomonadida; Viridiraptoridae
Description: SSU rRNA
Rfam family: Eukaryotic small subunit ribosomal RNA (bases 112-322)
Source: RNAcentral